GCUGGGAUAGCGAAGUGGUCAAACGCAUUAGACUGUAAAUCUAACACCGCAAGGUUUCGUAGGUUCGAUCCCUACUCCCAGCACCA
This 86-nucleotide transfer RNA is filed under the name Oscillospiraceae bacterium. RNAcentral's name for it is "tRNA-Tyr". It matches the Rfam family "tRNA". From Rfam's summary of the family: Transfer RNA (tRNA) molecules are approximately 80 nucleotides in length. Their secondary structure includes four short double-helical elements and three loops (D, anti-codon, and T loops). Further hydrogen bonds mediate the characteristic L-shaped molecular structure. tRNAs have two regions of fundamental functional importance: the anti-codon, which is responsible for specific mRNA codon recognition, and the 3' end, to which the tRNAs corresponding amino acid is attached (by aminoacyl-tRNA synthetases). tRNAs cope with the degeneracy of the genetic code in two manners: having more than one tRNA (with a specific anti-codon) for a particular amino acid; and 'wobble' base-pairing, i.e. permitting non-standard base-pairing at the 3rd anti-codon position. The record is from RNAcentral. Lineage: Bacteria; Bacillati; Bacillota; Clostridia; Eubacteriales; Oscillospiraceae.